UGUCUGAAAUGGUAUAGCGUUUCCUGCCUGAGCAGGGGGUUGGACUAGAUGAACUCCAAGUUCAGAUAUGCUUACUUCUGAAAUUUCCAGUGAAGAUAUGGCAAAUUGAAAAUAGUUCUGCAAAAGCAGAGCUGAUAACCACAGCAAAAACUAAGGAACCGGUGAGUAGAAUCCUCUCCAAAUAAUAAAAGGAUGGGAGAUCACCCAUAUGUCCUCCAGAUAGUUGCUCCUCGUAAGACUAUAGAAUAGUGAUUUCCCAUGAUUUCUGAGUACUGGAAGACAAUGGAAUCAGCCAUUUUGCUCAUGCCUGUGGCAGAGCCUUUUAAAGGACACUAAGUUCACAAAUCUCAUUUUCUAAUUCUCUUCAAAAAUUGCCUAUUAGCUAUUCUAAACCUAUAUGAGCCAUUCUAGGUAAACCAGACAGGAUAGACAACUAGAUGAGCUAUUUUAUUGUAAAGCUGCAUUAACAGACUUGUAGGUCUGAAAGUAGAAAAUUUCCCACUGCCAAUUUUAACUGUUUGACCCCUUAGGGUGGAUCCUUCCAAAGCAGCUGACCAUUGAGCCAUUGGGGAUCCUUCUCUUGUCUGAUUGUGUCCCAGGCAGCACCCCUUUCCCAUCUUCCCCAAGGUCACUUCCCAUAUUCCAAGUUUAAAUUAGAGACAAUUCACAAUGACAGGUUUAAGAACUCUAAACAAAAGAAAAAUUGAUUACAAGCUUAUAACUUAAAGUACUGGCUCCCAACCUUUUCUAUACCCUGCACCCCUAGAACGCUUCUGAUAUACUCUCGCAAUCCUUACAAAAGUUCGAAAUAACGGCAACGAAUUAUGCAUAUACACUAUAAUUUUGAAAAACCAAAUUUUUGCAUCCCAUGGAAUAUCAUCUCGCAGCCCCGGUUGGGAACCCCUGACUUAAAGAGUUUGAAGUAAAGAGCAAAAAGCUAAAUAAGAUUUUGAUCUAAGGGCUUCCGGUUUCGUCACACAGCCGCCAUGGACGGCUGGGAGAUCUGCUCUUUCUCCCCUGUUCAAUUUUGCAUCGCUGGGGGGCCCUGAAAAGGGCCAAAAAUCGCCCCGGAGAAGCGACCAGGAGGAGGGGCUUUUGCUGGAUCACAAGAGAGCAGCAAUUUUCCUGUGAGACCUGGCAUUUCCUCCAAACUGGUGGACAAAAAGACCGGCCAUAGAAAUAUGGCUUGUCCCUAGGCUGCUAACAGCUGAAGUCACAUUAACAUCUGGCAACUUCAAAGCAGCAUGGAAAGGAUUGGGUGAGAUCUGCCUCUCUUACAUCCUAAUUACUUAAUUACCUGCAUAAGCUGCUAAAGUACUUUCCCCCCUGUGGUGAGGGAAGGGGGAUUUUAGCCCUCUCUCCAGAAACAGCAGGUAUCAACCACUUGGGAGUCUAAAACAUUGG
Crotalus tigris (Tiger rattlesnake) is the source of this 1404-nucleotide long non-coding RNA. RefSeq lists it as uncharacterized. NCBI's taxonomy places the organism in Eukaryota, Metazoa, Chordata, Lepidosauria, Squamata, Viperidae. The transcript is spliced from 2 exons. The record is from RefSeq and is a predicted model, not a curated record.